Molecule: long non-coding RNA, 2524 nt
Filed under: Nicotiana benthamiana
Lineage: Eukaryota; Viridiplantae; Streptophyta; Magnoliopsida; Solanales; Solanaceae
Description: long non-coding RNA (NBEN_LNC010435)
Source: RNAcentral
UCGCAGAAGCUGCUACUGGGGGCUCAGGCUGCUGGUCAGCUGAUGAAGUGAUAUGUGUUCUCACCAUCUGUGAGAGAACAAAGUAGAAGUUCAAUUAGCAUUGAGAAAUCAAGUCGCAUGACAGGGAAGAAGAAUAGAUGUGAAUAUUAUCCUCUCUUUAGCCUUUGGGGAUAAAUACAGGCGUCUCCAUACCGAUCCCUCAGACUCUACUAAGCUUGUCCAUGAAUUGUGAAACCUAUGUAACUACCUAUGUAACUAGAGCUCUGAUACCAACUUGUCAUGAACCGGAUUUCUCAAACUCGGAGGGUCGUGAUGGCAUCUACUAGUGAAAGCUGGGAAAGCCAAUAAUUCUAAUUACUUAACCUUUUCUAUUUUUAAUCCCUUAACAGUGGUAAAUAAAAAUUAUAUAAACAUCGGAAAUAAUAAAGCGGAAGACUUAAAUGUAACAAGUUAAUAAUAAUUUUGAUAUAGAUCCAUGACAAAACAACGCAGGACUGGUGUUACAAUCUCACAGAUUGUCUAGGACUAUGGAUAGGGGUUCAAAAGAUACACACAAAAUUAUUUCUGAAAUACAUAGAAAGAACAGAAAGGAAAUAUAGAAAGAGACGCCAAGGCAUGCGGACGCCGGCAGAACUACCUCGGGUCGCUUGAAUGGACUGAAGGCAGCAACCUCAUUGUGGUCCAAAAGCUGCAGCACCGGGAUCUGUACAUAGUGCAAAGUGCAUUGUCAGCAUAACCGGCCGCAUAUUCUGGUAAGUUCCUAGCCUAAUUUGGCAAAGUAGUGACGAGGCUAGGAACAUAUGACAAAAUAAACUGGUGCAGCUAAAUCAUAUACAAUGGAAAAAUAAAAGCAGAUACUUAUAGUUAAAGAUGGGAGGGGGAAAGCAUGCUGCGGGGAGUAUCAGAUAACAACAAAAUGAAAAAAGAGUAAUGUAAAUAAACCACAAUUCAAUUACCAACAUGAAUAAGGAAAAUCAGAAACAUGUGCAUGUCAUCACCCUUCGUGCUUUUACUCUAUUCUCACCAUAAGAAUCAAUAUUCACUUUCAUUAUCUCUUGUUGUGGCGUGUAACCCGAUCCCAAAUUAUAUAAUACCGUUGCGGCGUGCAACCCGAUUCGAUUUCAUAUAAUCCCGUUGAGGCGUGCAACCCGAUCCCAUUUCAUAUAAUACUAUUGCGGCGUGCAACCCAAUCCCGUUUCAUAUAAUACUAUUGCGGCGUGCAACCCGUUCUCAUAUACAAUUCAACAUCAAUCAUAAAAGAAUUUUGGCAAGGGAACAAGAGUAUAACAACAACAUUCCGGUAAGGGAGACUAUAUCAUUAACAAUAACAUCCCGGCAAGGGAGACAAUGUCUUAAACAACAACAUCCCGGCAAGGGAACCAACAAUGAUAAUAGUCAUAUUAAGUAUGAAUAAAUAACAAUGGAGUCACAACAAUUAUAAUACGAGACUCACGGAUAUGCUUAACAACGACAUAUAGAUACUCGUCACCAUGCCUAUGCGUUGUACUCCACAAUUAACACAUAGCAAAUAAGACACUACUCCUAAUUGACUUCUCAAGCUAAGGUUAGAGCAAACACUUACCUCGAUGCCACGAACACAAUUCAUACCUCAACCACUUCUUUACCUCUUGUUUCCACCACCAAUUUGCUUUUAUCUAGCCACGAGUUACUUAACGAUAACAAUAAAUCCUAAAUGAAUAAAUCCUAAUGCAUCAAAACAAGUUUUCCAAUGAUUUUCCCAAAAAGUCAAAAAUCGAUGCCAGGCCCACAUGGUCAACACCCGAGGUUUAAACAAAAACCUAAUUAUCCAUUCGCUCAAGAACUCAAAUAUAUAAUUUAUUUUGAAAUCGGACCUUAAAUCGAGGUCCAAAUCUCCAAAAUUCAAAAAUACUAAGUUCUACCCAAAAAUCCAAUUUUCCCAUGAAAACCCUUGAUUUUGAAAUGAAAUUAUGUAAAACGAUAGAUUUAAUUGAAAGAAAUGAGUUAGAAAUGACUUACUAUUGAUUUGAACAAUAGUUUCCAUUGAAAAAUCGUUCAAAGAUGUUUUAGGUUCGAGAGAGUUGAGAAAUUUUCGACUAAGUUAUAAAUUAGCAGCUCGUAGAUAUCGCAAUUGCGAACUCUUUCAGAACCUUUCAUUUUUGUAUUUGCGAUCAGAUAUUCGAAAUUGCGAACUUACAUUUUGAAAGGAUUGUCGCAUUUGCAAAAAAUGCUCGCACUUACGAGCAAGGCUGGCCAGGGGAUUGGUGUGGAGGAGAUGAGACUAGUGAGAUGUUAUUUUUCAUUCUAUUGGCUAGUAGUUUUUCCUUAAAAAGAAAUAGUUUCAGUGUACAUAAGUUUUAGGGAAGAGUUUAUGUCCGGUGGUUUAGAGGAAUGGCCGUUUGAUUGGUGUGUUGUGACAUAUGGAAAUUCCGAUUGGAUUUCUUGGUUUAUAGGAUUUUUAGAGAGGGGCAGAGUUUCUCGCUCUAGAUAUGCAAGUUGUUUCUGUAGAACUGAAACAAACAUUUUUAAUCUGAAAGUUUAUUUG